CUACGGGCGGCUGCAGUGAGGAAUAUUGCACAAUGGGGGGAACCCUGAUGCAGCAACGCCGCGUGGAGGAUGACGCAUUUCGGUGUGGAAAAUCUUUUUAUAUGUCAAGAAAAUGACGGUAGCAUAUGAAUAAGCACCGGCUAACUCCGUGCCAGCAGCCGCGGUAAUACGGAGGGUGCAAGCGUUACUCGGAAUCACUGGGCGUAAAGGACGCGUAGGCGGGUUGGAAAGUCAGGUGUGAAAUCCUACAGCUUAACUGUAGAACUGCACUUGAAACUUCUAAUCUAGAGUAUGGGAGGGGGAGAUGGAAUUAGUGGUGUAGGGGUAAAAUCCGUAGAUAUCACUAGGAAUACCUAAAGCGAAGGCGAUCUCCUGGAACAUUACUGACGCUAAGGCGUGAAAGCGUGGGGAGCAAACAGGAUUAGAUACCCGUGUAGUC
Molecule: ribosomal RNA, 439 nt
Filed under: uncultured bacterium
Lineage: Bacteria
Description: partial 16S ribosomal RNA
Rfam family: Bacterial small subunit ribosomal RNA
Source: RNAcentral